AACGAACGCUGGCGGCAUGCCUAACACAUGCAAGUCGAACGAGACCGCCGGGCUUAGGGGCGCACGGGUGGGGAAGGAGGGGGAACCUGCACGUAGGUUAGGAACAACUGACUGUAAGGGGAGCUAAGAACGGAGGAGGUCUUAGGGCCAAGGAUUUUUUGCCUUUGGGUGGGCGCGGGUUGGAUUAGGCAGUUGGUAGGGUACAAGCAUACCAAGGCGUCGAUGCAGGGCUGGUCGGAGAGGAUGCUCAGUCACACUUGGACUGCGACACGGACCAGAAUCCGACGCGAGGGAGCAGUAGGGAAUAUUAGACACUGGGCGAUAGCCUGAUACAGCAAUGCCGCGUGAGUGAUGCAGGCCUUAGGGUUGUAAAGCUCUUUUACCCGAGAUGAGAAUGACGGUACCGGGAGAAUAAGCUCCGGCUAACUCCGUG
RNAcentral lists this ribosomal RNA (433 nucleotides) under uncultured bacterium. RNAcentral's name for it is "partial 16S ribosomal RNA". It matches the Rfam family "Bacterial small subunit ribosomal RNA", at positions 29 to 507 of the family's 1533-position model. The record is from RNAcentral.